Molecule: ribosomal RNA, 608 nt
Filed under: Plateros sp. UPOL A00493
Lineage: Eukaryota; Metazoa; Arthropoda; Insecta; Coleoptera; Lycidae
Description: partial 16S ribosomal RNA
Rfam family: Bacterial large subunit ribosomal RNA (bases 382-540)
Source: RNAcentral
CAUGUCUUUUUGAUUAUAAUUUAAAGUCUAAUCUGCACAAUGAUGAUUAAAUUGCCGCAGUAUCUUGACUGUGCAAAGGUAGCAUAAUAAUUAGUUUCUUGAUUAGGAACUGGAAUGAAUGAUUGGACGAGAAAAUUUCUGUCUCUUAUUAAGUGGUUUUUAAAUUUUAUUUUUAAGUAAAAAAGCUUAAAUGUGUAUAAAAGACGAGAAGACCCUAUAGAGUUUAAUAUUUUAUUUUUAAUUAGAUUUUAGGAAUAGUUUUUAAUUUAAAGUAUUUUGUUGGGGUGAUUUAAGGAUUUGAAAAAUUCUUUAAGAAUUAAAAUUGAUGAUUAUUAAAUUUUUUUAUCUAAAUUUUUUAAAUUUAAAACUAAUUACCUUAGGGAUAACAGCGUAAUUUUUCUUAAAAGCUCAUAUUGAAAGAAAAUUUUGCGACCUCGAUGUUGGAUUAAAAUAAAUUUUUGGUGCAGUAACUUAAAAAUUAGGUCUGUUCGACCUUUAAUAUUUUACAUGAUCUGAGUUUAAACCGGUGUAAGCCAGGUUGGAUUCUAUCUUUAGAAUUAUUGUAUAUUUUAGUACGAAAGGACCAAAUAUAUAUUAUAUAUUAAUUG